RNAcentral lists this ribosomal RNA (451 nucleotides) under uncultured bacterium. RNAcentral's name for it is "partial 16S ribosomal RNA". It matches the Rfam family "Bacterial small subunit ribosomal RNA", at positions 29 to 523 of the family's 1533-position model. The record is from RNAcentral.
AACGAACGCUGGCGGCAGGCCUAACACAUGCAAGUCGAGCGCCCGGAUUUAUCCGGGAGCGGCGCACGGGUGAGUAACGCGUGGGAACAUGCCCUGAAGUACGGAACAACCUGGGGAAACCUUGGCUAAUACCGUAUACGCCCGAAGGGGGAAAGAUUUAUCGCUUUGGGAUUGGCCCGCGUUGGAUUAGCUGGUUGGUGUGGUAACGGCGCACCAAGGCGACGAUCCAUAACUGGUCUGAGAGGAUGACCAGUCACACUGGGACUGAGACACGGCCCAGACUCCUACGGGAGGCAGCAGUGGGGAAUAUUGGACAAUGGGCGAAAGCCUGAUCCAGCCAUGCCGCGUGAGUGAAGAAGGCCUUCGGGUUGUAAAGCUCUUUCAGCGGGGACGAUGAUGACGGUACCCGCAGAAGAAGCCCCGGCUAACUUCGUGCCAGCAGCCGCUGUAA